AGAAUAAUUUCGGGGAUAGACGUUCUUGCGAAGAACUCUUUGACGAAUUACGAAGCGUGACCUUUAGAACAAACACUUUAGAUUUUUACAACGACAUGAAAACCAGGUUACACAGGUUAAAUAACAAAUUAGUAACCAUUUUAGGAGAAACCGAAGCAACUAGAGAGAGUGCGAUGAACAACAAGCGCACUGCCCUCAAUAUCUUUAAAAACAAACUUCCUGAACCAAUGAAAUCAAUCCUUUUCUGUAGGAACCCAGAAGACUUGGAAAAUGCUAUGGACAUACUGUUCCAAGCCGGGUACGCACAUACAGGGAACAAUAACGUGAACAACAGCACAGAAUUUAAAACUCAUUCAAGUAAUAGGAAUACUGACUAUAGAAACAAUACACAAUACAAUAAAAAAGACAGUAGGAAUAGAACACAAUACGGGAAUUCCCAACAACUACUCAACAGAAGGAAUUUCCAACCAAUGCCCCAAAAUAACGGAAGAAAUUACCAACAAUCCCAGCCAUACCAACAAGCAAACCCACAAAACCCUUCCUUCCAGAGACCAAAUUUCAGAAACCAACCGGAACCUAUGGACAUAGGAAAAAUAGAAGUGGCUGAAAAUUUUCAGGAAUCAGCCUCAAGAAUAAAUUACCAUUUAUAAUAAUAAAAACAAAGAUAGGUUUUAUAAGACUUAUAAUAGACACAGGGACCCCAAAGGAAUUCAUCCAACUAGCCCACUUUUAAUUAAAACUCUCCAACAUCGAAUUUACGUUGACAAAAAGGCAAUAGUACCCAUGUUUGAAGAAUUUAGCGACAUUGGAACUAAUAAACCAAUAGAGUUUUAUAUAAUAAAAUUUCAUAACUUUUUUGACGCUCUAAUAGGUAACGAUAUAUUGAGUCCACUAAAUGCCUGUAUCGAUUAUAAAAAGAACGAAAAAAAGAUCGGUAACAAGACACUCCCUAUGCACUUCGAAAACGAAAACUUAAAUGAAAGAAAGAUAGUAGUACCAGAUGACUCUGACCUAGUAUAUUAUAAGGAAGAAAACAGCGGAAACAUUGUAAGAGAGGGAAUUUUAAAUGUAAGAAAUCAAGAAGCAAAGAUAAACUUACUAUCUGAAACCAAUCGGGUGACUACGCAAAAAGUAGAUCACGAAAAUUUUAACAUAAUCGAAAAUAAAGAAUCUAAACCAUUGGCUGACCAAAUUAGAAUAGGGCACUUGAACCCCGAGGAAAGGUCACAAUUGUUGCAAAUAAUAAAAGAAUAUCGUAAUAUUUUUUACCAGGAAAAUGAAGGACUUUCAUUUACUUCAGCAAUAAAACAUAGAAUUAAAACUACAAACAACAUACCUAUAUUUUCUAAGUCAUAUAGGUACCCAUACGUACAUAAGGAAGAAGUCACAGAUCAAAUCCAAGAAAUGUUAAAACACGGGAUAAUUAGGAAUAGCAAUUCUCCCUACUCAGCCCCAAUUUGGAUCGUGCCAAAGAAGGCCGAUGCCAGCGGGAAACCAAAGUGGAGACUUGUAAUCGACUAUCGUAAACUGAACGAAGUAACGAUCGAUGACAAGUUUCCCAUCCCGAACAUAAACGAGAUUCUUGAAAAACUGGGAAGAAGCCAGUACUUCACCACACUCGAUCUGGCGAAGGGUCUCAACCAAAUCGAGAUAGAGGAAGUAGACAUCCACACAUUCACUUAGACUUAUAUUCGCAAGAUUACAGGAGGCAAAUUUAAAAGUCCAGCUAGAUAAAUCAGAAUUUCUAAAAAAGGAAACAGAGUUCCUUGGGCACAUAAUUACAACGGAAGGAGUCAAGCGCAAUCCUAAAAAGAUAGAAUGCGUUGUUAACUUCCCAAUACCCAAAACAGCAAAACAGAUCAAGCAAUUCUUAGGGCUCACAGGCUACUACAGGAAGUUCAUAAAGGACUACUCGGCUAUAGCUAAACCAAUGACUAGGUGCUUAAAGAAAGAAUCACAGAUAAAUAUAAAUGAUUCGGACUACGAAAAAAGUUUUAACACCCUCAAGACCCUACUAACACAUGAUCCAAUAUUAACAUACCCAGACUUUUCUAAAACAUUUACAUUGACAACGGACGCGAGUAAUUACGCUUUGGGAGCGGUACUUUCGCAAGAUAAUCAUCCAAUAUGCUACGCCAGUCGCACCCUUAAUACGCAUGAAACAAAUUAUAGCACAAUAGAGAAGGAAUUAUUGGCAAUCGUAUGGGCUACAAAAUAUUUUAGGCCAUACCUUUUUGGUCGUAAGUUUAUAAUAGAGACAGAUCACAAGCCACUGACAUGGCUCUUUUCUAUAAAGGAACCAAAUUCAAAACUUGUUAGGUGAAGAUUAAGAUUAUCUGAAUACGAUUAUGAUAUUAGGUACAAGAAAGGAAUAAAGAAUAAUAAUGCCGACGCUUUGUCAAGGAUUGAAAUUGAACCCAGCAUUAAUACACUAGAGUGCGACACGGGAACGAUAAAAAGUACUACUUCACCAAUUAAUAUGUUUAAAAAUCAAGUAGUUAUAAUAAAAACUACCUCUGGAUCAUUAAGAAUAAAAAAUAAAUCUGUUUUUAAAAAUAAAAGAAGAAUAAUUUCUAUGAAGGAAAUGGACAGGGAAACAGCAAUUACAAUACUAAAGAAUCAUUUUAAUCCAACACAACUGAAUGCUAUUUUUAUCGAAGACGAAUUUUAUACUAUGUUUACGAAGAACUAUUUUAAAAUAACCCAAAUUUUAAAGUACUUAGAUCUACACUCAUGACGGAAGACAUAGAAGACGAAAAUCGAUUAACUGAAAUUAUUAAAAACGAACAUCUUGACAAAAACCAUAGAGGAAUUCAGGCAGUAUAUAAAGAAUUAAUUACGCGAAUUUACAAUCCUAAAUUAAAACAAAGGAUAACUCAGUUCAUAAAUAACUGUGAAAUUUGUAACUUAGAAAAAUACGAUAGGAAACCCCCGAAGAUCCCUUACAAAAUUACAGAAACUCCAUCCAAACCUCUGGAAACAUUACAUAUAGACGUAUUUUAUACUUUAGAUGAUUAAAUGGAUCAUAAUGAUGGCAACACUUACCCCAACAUUCAAGACUCAAACCAUCGACCUACAGGACGUAUCGAACAAUAAUGGAUACAUACCGAUAAAAACAGGAGAGACUAAAACUGUAGAACACUACAUAAAAGUGCUACACAUAAUAAACACCACAGAAUACGAACGAACUAUGGAAAUAAUCAAAACCAACAUUGACAUCCUAAAGAUAUCCAGCAGCGAAUCAAAAAAAUUAAUAAAUACAAUAAAUAUUUAUGCUAUUAAGAGCAAAAAUAGAAAACCUUAACCCACAUUUCCGAAGGAAACGGGCUCUCUUAAACAUUAUAGGAAAGGGUCUAAAAAUUAUUACAGGUACAAUGGACAGUGACGAUGAAGAACAAAUAACUAAAACUCUUAAAUUACUACAUACGAACGAUGAAAACUUAACUAACGAAAUGAACAAACUAACCUAUAUAAACAAUGUCAUGAACUCCCAAAUCCAGAAUAUAACUAACCACAUAAACUAUCAGCAAAACAUUAUCGGGGACUACUUAAACAAAGUCAAGAAUAUUAUAGGGAAUAAAAUUUCAACCAUAGAGGACGAGAUAACAUUUAUAGAGCACAUAUACCAGAUCAACAACAUCUCACUCCUACGGCAUCACGUAGACGACAUAGGACAGAUUAUUUUCUCCGGGAAACUGGGAAUCAUCCCCACAGAUAUUCUCAGCCAAACCGAACUCGAAUUAAUCACAGACUUCGACAGUUAUACUAAUAUUAAAGUAGCCAUAGCACUUCACGAAGGUAAUAUUAUAAAUAAUUCUCUCUAUACCACAAUAUUCGCAAGAUUCACUAUCCAUGGUGACAUUCGUACCCAUUCCUGACAAAAAUAAUAAAUCCAUAAAGGUUAUCCACUCUGAUGUUCUCAUUGAUUCAGAAAGCAAUAUUUAUAGCACAUAUAUUAAAGAUAAUCUAAAAAGAAACAAACAAAAUACUAAACUUUGAAGAAGCUAAUUGCAAAAUGCAAACAUUAAAUACACAAGAGAUAAGCGAAAUAAUUCCUGGAGUACUAAUUCUUAAACAUUUUAACAGCACAAUAUCCCAUAACUGCAACAAAGCUAAAUUAAACAUUUCAGGAAAUUACUUAAUCAAAUUCGAAAAUUGUGAAAUAAACGCGUUAAACAAGACUUUUACAAAUGUCAAAUUAAAAUACAAGACAAGUUUAUUCUACCUAAUAUCAUUACAAAAAUUAAAGACAAUAGUAAUACAA
Long non-coding RNA from Bactrocera neohumeralis, 4264 nucleotides. RefSeq lists it as uncharacterized. The record is from RefSeq and is a predicted model, not a curated record. The transcript has 2 exons. Lineage: Eukaryota; Metazoa; Arthropoda; Insecta; Diptera; Tephritidae.